RNAcentral lists this long non-coding RNA (2988 nucleotides) under Sus scrofa (pig). RNAcentral describes it as "lncRNA (ENSSSCG00030023177.1)". The record is from RNAcentral. Lineage: Eukaryota; Metazoa; Chordata; Mammalia; Artiodactyla; Suidae.
AUGAAAUAAUUUGUAAUUAUUUAGUGGGAAAUAAGCCAGAAUAGGUAUCAGAAAAAAGGGCUAUCCAUCUUUUCCUCUUCUUCUCUUUUCUUUUGUUCCAUCUGUCCUUGUAAAUAAAGUUUUAUUGGAACUUCAGAGUGGAACGGCCACCUUCAUUCUUUUAUAUCCCGUCUAUGGCGGCUUUCAAACUAUAUUGGCAGAGUUGAGGAGCUGUCACAGAGACUUUAUGGCCCUGAAAACCCCAAAUAUUUAAUGCCUGGCUCUUUGCAGGAUGUUUUCCAACACUGAGCUAGAAGACACAUCUCCCAGAACGCCCUUUUCCUCUAAGGUGAUGAAGCCCGUUCAUGUGACACCAGGAACUUUUCCAGGUGUCCUUGUGGACCCAGAGUGCAGUGUUAGCAACAUUUAUUCUCCCCACCUAAAUACAUUUAUCACUUUUUAUGUUUGAUUGUGUAGUGAUGAUUUGGUGGCAAAGCAAGGAAGCAUGUUCUGGAGAAUUUUGUCCUUCAUUUGUAGCACUUCCAGGAAAAUAGCAUCCUCAAGAACUGUUUCCCAGUCUGGUAAAGAAGAGUGUCAUCAAGAAGGGGUUUUGAGGUCCCCAUUAUCAUGCUGAACCCACGUAAACAAGAGAUAAUCCCCUCCAAUAAAAGGAAUUGCUUUCUCACCAGAUGAAUGGCACCCAGGUGGCACUCAACUCCCACGUGACAUUUGGUCCUGAGAGGACCUCUGUCAGGUGGCAUUUCUGAGAGGAGAUGCUUCCCGAGGUCAUGCUCCACUGGCUCUCAGAAACGGAGCUUCCUUUCUGUAGGAAGUAGGACUGGGGAAGAGGUGGGAAGGGCGAGAAUGUGCAAGAAGGAGCGAGAGGACUGGGACGAGAGCUCUGCUGGGUAGUGUCCACUCCUGCUGCUACUCACCCCAGUAUCCCAUGCCCUCCGGGCUGCCCAGCCCCCUCCUCCGGAACCCUGACCGCUGCCCGGUAGAAAAUGCCACCGAACCUGGAUUUUCUGUACCUCUCGACAGACAAUACAAAUUGGUGAUGUGUCACAUUUUCCAAAAUAGAAUAAAUCUCUUUGUGAUGAUUUCUCUGGAACUGAAUGUUCUGUCAAAUACUACAUGAGCUCCUUCAAGUGAGGUGAACGUUAUCCAUCCUUAACUUAGGCCUGUUACCUCUGGGCAAAAUUAUUUUUUAAAGGCCUGCAUAUCACUGAAGAGAAAUGCUUACAAAGAGGUAAAAUUGUGGAAUGUUUUGAUUCGGAGUUCCUGCUGUGGCUCAGCAGUUAACGAACACUACUGGUAUCCAUGAGGACAUAGGUUUGAUCCCUGGCUUUGCUCAGUGGAUUAAGGAUCCAGCGUUGCCGUGAGCUGUGGUGUAGGUUGCAGAUGUGGCUCAGGUCUGGAAUUGCUGUGGCUGUGGCAUAGGCUGGCAACUAUGGCUCCGAUUUGACCCCUAACCUGGCAACUUACAUAUGCCACAGGUGCUGCCCUAAAAGGACAUUGGGUUGUGAUGAUCAUUGUACAAGUAUAAAUACAAUAAAUUCAUUGAGUAAUAAAAAAAAAAAGCUGGGAUUCACUGGUCAUCUCCCUGUUUUACGUGUGAGACCAUAGCAGGUUGGGGACUUUGUCACUGUUACAUUGCUGCUUAGUACAACGCCAAAACUGGGACCCAGAUUUUAGACCCACUGUUCCAUAUUCCUGAGACCUGUGGGGCAAAUACCCUAGCAACCUCUGUCCAGGCCCCUCCCUGUCUAAUCCAAUAGCAUUUUUCUUAGAAAUGUCUUUUCCUUCUACCACAUUCACCCUCUCACACAUUCUAGGAGAUCUAGACAGAGCUAUUGCCAAGAUGAUGCCAUGACGGUUGUAUCAGUUAUCUCUUGCUGUGUAACAAAGCACCCCAAGGGCUGGAACACCUUGUCAUGCUAGCAAGUAGAAGAUUCUGAAAGAAAACAACAACAACAAAAAGAUGUCCAUAAGGACACAGAAGCCAGCUGUUAAGGGGAUUUUUUAUAGAUAGAUCUGGGACAAUUUAAAUAAAAUUAACAGUAUAAUUCAUAACACAGCAUUAAACAAAAGGCAUUCAUGCCUCCAUUCCAAUAAUCUGAUAAAUCAAGUUAGGGAAGGAUCUUGCUUGCUCUGGAUGCUGAAUGGAAGAGGUCUGAGUUGGAAAGUCAGCUUUUGUAACCAUCUUAAUAGUGGAUCGGGCAAAAAAAGAAACAGCUUCAAGAGUUGCUGAACUUAGGGGAAAUUUUUGAUGAAGAACAUGAUAUCUGCUUGGCCUUGUAAUAUCUCCCCACUGACUGCUUUUUAGUUGCAAAGGAAAAAAAAAAAACCAAUAAUUAUGUAGUGGAGUGAUCAGACUCCACCUUGACUCGGGAAUCAGAAUUAAUGUUGCCAGUGAGACCUGUGCCUUCAGAUGUGAUACCAUGAUCUGGGUAUUGUACCACCUAUGUAGUAUUCUGGGUGAGGAUGCUAAUCAUAAGGAAAUAGGAGACAAGCACAAAAUGAUGGGUGGAAAUUUUGUGUUAAAAAAUGAGACCGAGAAGGCUAUAUUUUUUCAAAUAUUUAUAUAUUACAAAAUGCCAAGGAAUGCUGAGGAACUGUUCCAGGUCAAGAGAAAUAACAAAUAAAUCUCAUACCGGACCCUAGACUAGAUCAUGUACUAGAGGGAAAGAAAUGCCAUUAAAAAAAUUAUUGGGUCAUUUGACAAAAUUGGCAUACAGAAUAAGAUCAUGGUAGCAGUAUUAAAUGUACUAAAGUCAAAAUCUCUGCUGUGGUUCUAUAAGAAAAUUGCCCUGUUUUCAUGAAAUACGUGUAUUUAGAAGGAAGUGCAAUGGUAUUUGUCACAUCCUCAAAUGGUUCUAAAAACAUAAUAAUAUGUAAUUUCUAUAUUUAUAGAAAGACAAAAAUAGCCUUCAAAUGAUAACGCAUUGAGAUAAAAGUUAGAUGCAUCUUAUUUUUGCAAUUUUUUUCUAUAAAUUUUAAAUUAUUCCC